This 441-nucleotide ribosomal RNA is filed under the name uncultured bacterium. RNAcentral describes it as "bacterial SSU rRNA". It matches the Rfam family "Bacterial small subunit ribosomal RNA", at positions 64 to 507 of the family's 1533-position model. The record is from RNAcentral.
GAGUGCGCGCCUGUAGCAAUACAGGUGGCGCACGGCGCACGGGUGCGUAACACGUGGGCAAUCUGCCCUCUGAUGGGGAAUAACCCGCCGAAAGGCGGGCUAAUACCGCAUAACAUUCCUUGGACUCAUGUUCGAGGACUGAAAGGCGUAAGUCGUCGGAGGAGGAGCCCGCGCCCGAUUAGCUAGUUGGUAGGGUAACGGCCUACCAAGGCUUUGAUCGGUAGCUGGUCUGAGAGGAUGGCCAGCCACACUGGAACUGAGACACGGUCCAGACUCCUACGGGAGGCAGCAGUGGGGAAUCUUGCACAAUGGGCGAAAGCCUGAUGCAGCGACGCCGCGUGGGGGAUGAAGCUUCUCGGAGUGUAAACCCCUUUCGAUCCGGACGAAUACCUCGCAAGAGGGGUGACGGUACGGAUAUAAGAAGCCCCGGCUAACUACGUG